AAGAAAAUGAUGAAUCUGAUGAGGAAAAACCCAAAAGAGGGAAAAAGUGAAGAAGAAGAAAGUGAAAAAGAAUGAAGAAUUAGAGGAUAAGGCAGGGACCCAAAAGAGAAAAACAGUGAAGAAGAAAGUGAAAAUGAAAAAACAAAAUGAUAAAUCAGAGGAUGAGGUAGGGACCAAAAAGAGGAAAACAGUGAAAAAGAACGUAAAACUAGGUUUUUACCAUGGAAACAUUCACAACAAAUUUCUAUUAUUUUUUUGAUAAUAUUCUUAAUACAUUUUACUGCAUAUCAGACUACAGGUAACAAUGUGGUUUUUCAGAAUAUUUAUCAAAUCUUAGAACUAAUUUGCAAGUGAAUAAGCAAUAUUAAUAUUUCUGUUUAAUGUGAACUACCAAUCCCAUCAUCUGUAUUCAUACUUUAUAUUAACUGAAUGUAUAUAACGGAGUGCUAAUUCCUACUAUACAGUGAGAUUUUUUUUUUUAAUUUUUAAACUGAAUUUAUUAACAAAUAUUGAACAAAAAUCCAUACGUAUUGGGCUUAGAAUAAAUUGACUUAAUUAAAAUAUUUAUUAGUAAAAACUGGAAGCAGCUGUGGGAUUCAUGAUUAAGGAAUAAUGAGUUGUUCCCUCUCUUGCAGAAGCAACUCUAAAUAAUGAUGAUGAUGAUGCUUAUAUAGAUGAAGUUACUACUGGUGAGAUAUAAACUCAUUUUUGCCCAUUUCAUCUAUACUUAUUUAUGGUGAAGUUAUAGAAGGAUUUAAUUCAUCUUUUUUCUUUUCAUUGCAGUAGAAAAUGCAUUUGCACAGAUUGAAACAGAUGAAGAGCGCACAAAUAGUACAAUUCCUGCUUCUCUUGUCAGUAUUAUUGCACUCAUGGCCCAUGUAUAUUACAUAAUGUUUUUUGUUUCUGCUGAACCUCAACCAUGUAUUAUAGCUAUAUUGUAUUCUGUAAUCUUCUAUAGUUUCAGAGAUUGAUAAAGGCAUUUUUGCUGCUGAAAUGGAAGGCGCCAAUAAGCAGAUAAUCCUCACUGGGGGAUGCAUAAUUGGCUUGCUAGCAGCUGGAGCACUAAUCUAUUAUAUCGUAAUAAAGCGAUAUUUCAAGAAGUAUCACUUUCCCCUUUUCUUUUUUAACAUUUAUCCUAUUCUUUUCCUAUUUCCUGUUACAGAGAAACUGAAAAUACAAAAGAUGGAUUAAAGGAAACAGAGGAAGGUGAGGCAGAACAGGUCACCAAAGGUAAAAAGAAAGUGAAAUAGAAUGAAGAAAAUGAUGAAUCUGAUGAGGAAAAACCCAAAAGAGGGAAAAAGUGAAGAAGAAGAAAGUGAAAAAGAAUGAAGAAUUAGAGGAUAAGGCAGGGACCCAAAAGAGAAAAACAGUGAAGAAGAAAGUGAAAAUGAAAAAACAAAAUGAUAAAUCAGAGGAUGAGGUAGGGACCAAAAAGAGGAAAACAGUGAAAAAGAACGUAAAACUAGGUUUUUACCAUGGAAACAUUCACAACAAAUUUCUAUUAUUUUUUUGAUAAUAUUCUUAAUACAUUUUACUGCAUAUCAGACUACAGGUAACAAUGUGGUUUUUCAGAAUAUUUAUCAAAUCUUAGAACUAAUUUGCAAGUGAAUAAGCAAUAUUAAUAUUUCUGUUUAAUGUGAACUACCAAUCCCAUCAUCUGUAUUCAUACUUUAUAUUAACUGAAUGUAUAUAACGGAGUGCUAAUUCCUACUAUACAGUGAGAUUUUUUUUUUUAAUUUUUAAACUGAAUUUAUUAACAAAUAUUGAACAAAAAUCCAUACGUAUUGGGCUUAGAAUAAAUUGACUUAAUUAAAAUAUUUAUUAGUAAAAACUGGAAGCAGCUGUGGGAUUCAUGAUUAAGGAAUAAUGAGUUGUUCCCUCUCUUGCAGAAGCAACUCUAAAUAAUGAUGAUGAUGAUGCUUAUAUAGAUGAAGUUACUACUGGUGAGAUAUAAACUCAUUUUUGCCCAUUUCAUCUAUACUUAUUUAUGGUGAAGUUAUAGAAGGAUUUAAUUCAUCUUUUUUCUUUUCAUUGCAGUAGAAAAUGCAUUUGCACAGAUUGAAACAGAUGAAGAGCGCACAAAUAGUACAAUUCCUGCUUCUCUUGUCAGUAUUAUUGCACUCAUGGCCCAUGUAUAUUACAUAAUGUUUUUUGUUUCUGCUGAACCUCAACCAUGUAUUAUAGCUAUAUUGUAUUCUGUAAUCUUCUAUAGUUUCAGAGAUUGAUAAAGGCAUUUUUGCUGCUGAAAUGGAAGGCGCCAAUAAGCAGAUAAUCCUCACCGCGGGAUGCAUAAUUGGUUUGUUAGCAGUUGAAGCACUAAUCUAUUAUAUCGUAAUAAAGCGAUAUUUCAAGAAGUAUCAAUUUCCCCUUUUCUUUUUUAUGUUGUACCCCGAUAAAACAAACCAUUUAUCCUAUUCUUUUCCUAUUUCUUGUUACAGAGAAACUGAAAGUACAAAAGAUGGAUUAAAGGAAGCAGAGGAAGGUGAGGCAGAACAGGUCACCAAAGGUAAAAAGAAAGUGAAAUAGAAUGAAGAAAAUGAUGAAUCUGAUGAUGAGGAAAAACCCAUCACCACACUAUAUGGAAAUGAGCUGAAGAGGAGUCAGGAGUCACCUGAAAUCUUGAGUCAUUUCCAAUUGGUUUUUGCUAUGGAAACACAGAUAUCUAUUAUUUUUCAUAUUUGUUUUAUAAUAUUCUUAAUAUAACAUUCAAGUGCAUAUCCGACUACAGGUAAAAAUGUUGUUUUACAAAAUAUUUAUCAAUUUAGAACUAAUUUGCAAGUGAAUACGCAAUAUUAAUGUUUCUGUGUAAUGUGAACUACCAAUCCCAUUAUCUGUAUUGAGAAGCAACUCUAAAUAAUGAUGAAGACGAUAAUGCUUACAUAGAUGAGAUUACUACUGGUGAGAUAUAAACUCAUUUUUGCCCAUAUCUUCUAUACUUAUUUAUGGUGAAGUUAUAUAAAGAUUUAAUUCAGAUUUUUUCUUUUCAUUGCAGUAGAAAAUGCAUUUGCACAGAUUGAAACAGAUGAAGAGCGCACAAAUAGUACAAUUCCUGCUUCUCUUGUCAGUAUUAUUGCACUCAUGGCCCAUGUAUAUUGCAUAAUGAUUUUUGUUCUGCUGAACCUCAACCAUGUAUUAUAAUUAUAUUUUAUUCUGUAAUCUUCUAUAGUUUCAGAGAUUGAUAAAGGCAUUUUUGCUGCUAAAAUAGAAGGCGCCAAUAAGCAGAUAAUCCUCACUGGGGGAUGCAUAAUUGGCUUGCUAGCAGCUGGAGCACUAAUAUAUUAUAUCGUAAUAAAGCGAUAUUUCAAGAAGUAUCACUUUCCCCUUUUCUUUUUUAACAUUUAUCCUAUUCUUUUCCUGUUACAGAGAAACUGAAAGUACAAAAGAUGGAUUAAAGGAAGCAGAGGAAGGUGAGGCAGAACAGGUCACCAAAGGUAAAAAGAAAGUGAAAUAGAAUGAAGAAAAUGAUGAAUCUGAUGAUGAGGAAAAACCCAUCACCACACUAUAUGGAAAUGAGCUGAAGAGGAGUCAGGAGUCACCUGAAAUCUUGAGUCAUUUCCAAUUGGUUUUUAACAUGGAAACAUACAGAUUUCUAUUAUUUUUUAGAUAAUAUUCUUAUUCUAUUCAAGUGCAUAUCCAACUACAGGUAAAAAUGUUGUUUUACAGAAUAUUUAUCAAUUUAGAUCUAAUUUGCAAGUGAAUACGCAAUAUUAAUGUUUCUGUGUAAUGUGAACUACCAAUCCCAUUAUCUGUAUUCAUACUUUAUACUAACUGAAUGUAUGUAACUGAGUGCUAAUUCCUAAUAUACAGUGAGAUUUUUUUUUAAAACCAAACUGAACCUGAAGCAGCUGUGGGAUUCAUGAUUAAGGAAUAAUUAAUUGUUCCCUCUCUUGCAGAAUCAACUUUAAAUAAUGACGACGAAGAUGAUACUUACAUAGAUGAGAUUACUACUGGUGAGAUAUAAACUCAUUUUUGCCCAUAUCUUCUAUACUUAUUUAUGGUUAAGUUAUAUAAAGAUUUAAUUCAUCCUUUUUCUUUUCAUUGCAGUAGAAAAUGCAUUUGCUAAGAUUGAAACAGACGAAGAGCGCACAAAUAGUUAUAUUUCUGCUUCCCUUGUCAGUAUUAUCGCACUCAUGGCCCAUGUAUAUUGCAUAAUGUUUUUUGUUUCUGCUGAACCUCAACCAUGUAUUAUAAUUAUAUUUUAUUCUGUAACCUUCUAUAGUUUCAGAGAUUGAAAGAGGCAUUUUUGCUGCUGAAAUGGAAGGCGCCAAUAAGCAGAUAAUCCUCACUGGGGGAUGUAUAAUUGGUUUGUUAGCAGCUGUAGGGCUAAUAUAUUAUUUUGUAAUAAAGCGAUAUUUCAAGAAGUAUCACUUUCCCCUUUUUUUUUAUGUUGUACCCUGAUAAAACAAACCAUUUCUCCUAUUCUUUUCCUGAAAGAAACUGAAAGUACAAAAGAUGGAUUAAAGGAAGCAGAGGAAGUUGAGGCAGAACAGGUCACCAAAGGUAAAAAGAAAGUGAAAUAGAAUGAAGAAAAUGAUGAAUCUGAUAAUGAGGAAGAAACCCAAAAGAGGGAAUAAGUGAAGAAGAAGUGAAAAAGAAUGAAGAAUUAGAGGAUAAGAAAAUCUAAAGGCAUGGAAGGUGGAUUUAAGAAAGCAGAGGAAGGCAAGACAGGACAGGUCCCUAAAGAAAAAAAAAGGUGAAGGAAGUCAAAAAAUCAAGAGUCAGAAAAAGAAAGCAAAGAAGAAAGAAACAAUGUAGAAAAUUAUGGAUCUGAGGAUGAGGAAUGGAUGCAAAAGAAGGAAAAAGUGAAGAACAAUUAAGAAAAUUACAAGAAAAUCAUCUGAAAGUACAGCAGAUGGCUUAAAGCAGAAGCAUUAGAACUGAAGCACUGAAGCAGAGGAAGACAAGGCAGGACAGGCCACCAAAAGAAAAACUGUAAGGAAGUCAAGAAAGAAGUCAGGAAGAAUAAGGAACCAAGAAGAAAAUUAAAAAUGUAGGAAUUCAGUAUUCAGUAUUACUAAAUGGUUGUGCCAUGAACAUCAUUUAAGGUAAAACUCCACACAGCUACCCCUAGUCCAGCGAUACCCGCUUGUCUUUAAGGUGGUAGAAAGCAGAAUGAGCCAAGCUGUUUCUCUGUAUCACGCUAGGUUGGGGGUGGCAUUAUCCUUCCAUAGGCUAACUAUAAAUGGAAACAGUACUCCAGCCUAUUGAAGGAUCAAUCUGCCCCAACCCAGCGGGAUGGACACAAUUGCAAAGAAUCCUUUUACUGUGUCGGAGUGUCACUUGGGACCACUUGGCUGGGGGCUCCUUUGGGGGACUUUUUGCUGGUUAGAUUUUUUUGCUGCAACUCAUUAGUAAUACUAACAUGUUCCUAUGACUUUUCAUUAGGAACAUGUUAGUGUCCCUUUCUUGGGACUUGUCUCCUUAUUUGAAGUAGACUAAUUUGUAGCAGACUGCAAAGCUAAAUGUUGAUUGGUUGCCAUUGGUAACUACUCUUGUUCAGAGAUGGGACGAAAAUCACUCGAAUAGCCUGCAUAGAGCAAUGACAUCAAUAUGUUAAACACCUGGAAGAUGACAUGAGCUAGGCCUGAAUGCCUAAUAUCAGUGUCAACACCAUGAGGCUUUAAUAAAAGCAAAUUCCACCACCAACAUCAAGUGAAAGCCUUCCCCAAAGAUUAGAGGCUGUUAUAGCAGCAAAAGGAGGGACAAGUUGGUACCAAGGUAUCCAGAUACUUUUGCCUAUUUAACAUGUCUGGCUAAUGUACAGGUGCAAAGAAAAGGCACCCAUAGAAAUAAGGCUAUUGCCAUUUUCAUUAAAGUAGACUAAUUAAACUUUAGUCCUAUCUGGUUGCAGUUUGUUUCUGCACUGGGGCAAAUUUUUCCUGGAGUACCUUAAUCAGUAAGGAUUUCUUUGGGGAUACCAAUACAAAAUAACAUAUGUACCAGUUCUUCAUAAAGGGAUCACCUCUGAGUCGCUUAUGGCAUAUUUCAAAACCAAUAGUAUAUAUUGGUAUCCCCUAGAGAAUUUCAGCAAUGGUCCAAUUAAUUUUACAGUUAUUCUUUCUAACAGAAACUCUGUGAUGGGAAGAGGUACCAAGGGGAUCUAAGAUGUGGCAUAGGCCCAGUUAACUAACACUCUGGGAAAGACCUCUUGAACUCUAAAAAACCUACGGAAAUUAGGUUCUUUCGGUUUAGCACAGCCCAGGUGUCCUGCAAACACAUGUGGGCCAUAUCUUAUACCAUUCUGCUACAUGGUUGGGGUACUAAUAGCUAUUCUACUAUUUCCCUGUGAAUAUCAACUUGGUACAGCAAAUCUUGGAUUUUUUAGCCAAGUGUGGCUAUACCUCCAGGAAAAUGAGGUUUUCUGUUUGUUUUAUUUCCCCAGGCAUUUAUUAGCAUCAGGUACCUUAAUUGGGCAGUCCCAAAAUUAUUACACAAAACCUCUAAUAUGAACAUAUGGGUAAACAGCCUCAAACUCAUAAGUCUCUGGAAGUACAGCUACCCUUCACACAGAGUCUGGCACAAAACUCUUUCUGCUGGCUCAGGACUGUAAUCAAUAGGUACAGCCUUAGUUAUGCCUUAAUAUGAACUUAUUUCUUUUUAUACUGGG
Xenopus tropicalis (tropical clawed frog) is the source of this 6607-nucleotide long non-coding RNA. RefSeq lists it as uncharacterized. Lineage: Eukaryota; Metazoa; Chordata; Amphibia; Anura; Pipidae. The transcript is spliced from 3 exons. The record is from RefSeq and is a predicted model, not a curated record.